GACCUCAAAUCAGGUAGGACUACCCGCUGAACUUAAGCAUAUCAAUAAGCGGAGGAAAAGAAACUAACAAGGAUUCCCCUAGUAACUGCGAGUGAAGCGGGAAAAGCUCAAAUUUAAAAUCUGGCGGUCUUUGGCCGUCCGAGUUGUAAUCUAGAGAAGUGUUAUCCGCGCUGGACCGUGUACAAGUCUCCUGGAAUGGAGCGUCAUAGAGGGUGAGAAUCCCGUCUUUGACACGGACUGCCAGGGCUUUGUGAUGCGCUCUCAAAGAGUCGAGUUGUUUGGGAAUGCAGCUCAAAAUGGGUGGUAAAUUCCAUCUAAAGCUAAAUAUUGGCGAGAGACCGAUAGCGAACAAGUACCGUGAGGGAAAGAUGAAAAGAACUUUGGAAAGAGAGUUAAACAGUACGUGAAAUUGCUGAAAGGGAAACGCUUGAAGUCAGUCGCGUUGGCCGGGAAUCAACCUUGCUUUUGCUGGGCGUACUUUCCGGUUGACGGGUCAACAUCAAUUUUGACCGUUGGAUAAAGGCUGAGGGAAUGUGGCUUCUUCGGGAGUGUUAUAGCCCUUGGUCGCAUACAACGGUUGGGAUUGAGGAACUCAGCACGCCGCAAGGCCGGGUACUUGUACCACGUUCGUGCUUAGGAUGUUGGCAUAAUGGCUUUAAUCGACCCGUCUUGAAACACGGACCAAGGAGUCUAACAUGCCUGCGAGUGUUUGGGUGGAAAACCCGAGCGCGUAAUGAAAGUGAAAGUUGAGAUCCCUGUCGUGGGGAGCAUCGACGCCCGGACCAGAACUUUUGGGACGGAUCCGCGGUAGAGCAUGUAUGUUGGGACCCGAAAGAUGGUGAACUAUGCCUGAAUAGGGUGAAGCCAGAGGAAACUCUGGUGGAGGCUCGUAGCGAUUCUGACGUGCAAAUCGAUCGUCAAAUUUGGGUAUAGGGGCGAAAGACUAAUCGAACCAUCUAGUAGCUGGUUCC
Molecule: ribosomal RNA, 971 nt
Filed under: Psilocybe cubensis
Lineage: Eukaryota; Fungi; Basidiomycota; Agaricomycetes; Agaricales; Agrocybaceae
Also listed under: 1 other name
Description: LSU rRNA
Rfam family: Eukaryotic large subunit ribosomal RNA
Source: RNAcentral